UGAUUUCUUCUCCCAUGGAUUCCAUACCACUGUUUGCAGGGAUAGACAAGGGUAAAAGAAAGAACAAAAGUGUUAUAGCAUAAUGUAGAGUAUGGGCGAGUGGGCGUAUAAGCCUUUCUAAUCAUUAUGUGCAUGUGCGGGGCCUUUUCUAGUUAGCUUUUUGCACAAUUAUGUAGUUCAAGAGACAAAAAGUCCGACAAUGGCUAUGAACACAUCAAGAUUUUGUGUAAGCAUGUUAAAACAUGCACAUGAACAAACACAUGCAAAUGGGAGCUUACCAACAUCGGGCAGACCUUCCUUUCGUAUCACAAAUGUCCUUUUUCUUUCAUGAUCAAGUACUGCAAUUACAUUAGGAGAACUAAGAUAAACUCGAUCCACCUGCCAGAAAAGUCGGAUAGUAUGAAUAAUUAAAUUUAGAUGGUCUUUGCUCUACAUUGGAUACCAAAAUCAUGCAGGCGUUCAAAGUGGAACUGGCUCAUGUUAUUUGGAAAUAUGCAAUAGACUGUCUUAAAAGCAAUAAUCGGUAUUAAAUUGAAUAUGAAGUUUCUAAAUGAGAAACUCUUAAAUAGGGUAGGUUCUAAGGGGAAAAAGAAGGUUGUGAGCAGCUUGAGCUGCCUCAUCACUUUCAUGCAAGUCACUCUGCAGUGAAUAGGAAAUAUAAACAGAUCAAAUUAACUGUGGAACAGAUUCAGUGCCCUGAUUCUUGAGGCUCCCAGUUGUAAAUGUUUUAUUAUGGUUACAUGCUUGCAGUCAAAUUAAAACCAGAAUUUACCUCGGAUUCAAAAGUUAUGGCAUCUCCUUGUUCUGUAAAUCUCUCUCUUUGGCAAAGGUUGUCUAGAUAGUCAAGUGUUUCCAGUCCUUCUAUCCUCACUUCACUGAGGUUAUAAUUGAUCCAUGUAAGUUAAAAAAUGUAUAUCUUUAACAGCAGGUACUCAUAAUUACAACAAGAUGAACAAAUUUUAAGCAUAAGAUGUUAUAGGUUUAUGGAUGCCAACAAGUGCAACAUACUUAUAAGACUAAUAAAUUUUGGUGGCAAAUUCACUAAUAAAUUAUGUAAAAUUCACAAACUCGCCCGCACCAACGAUUUAAUGGCUUGAACUGGCCCUAAAAACCAAACUUGAACCAAUGGUUUGGCGCGAUAGAUAUAAGAAGGGGCCACAUAGACCAAACCAAAUCAAACCGCUCAAAGACCUAAACCAGAACUGUCAUUGAACUGGACCAAAACCAGCCCUAAACAGUGUUGAACCAAAACCAACUGGAACCACCUAAAACUGGUCCAGUUCAUCCACUUUCUCAACCCUGAACCACUGGUUCAGGCCUGGAAUCAGCCUGGACUGAACCACAGAACCAGUGGCCAGAUCUAACUAGAAUCAUUGGAAAAACUCCUUCCUGACAUUUUAUAAAUUGGUUUCACAAGACAAUUAAACAAAUUUUUCUUCCACUGUAGAGUUACCAUCCAUUGAGAUGAACAAGUUUUUAUUUUCAAGAAAAUAAUUUUAUAAUUUGUCUCAUGCUUAACAGCCAAAUUUGUCUGUUUUGGGGGCAUCAUUUCUUGAAAUAAAUCAUACCUUAUGUCAGAAACUGAUAAGUAUGUGUGAUAUGCAAAUGAGAAACUAAAUGGUUUGCCGUUGAUAUUCCGAACUCUUGAUAUUAAUGCCAAAUCUCCAUUUGUCGCAAGUAACACCCUAACACGAAACUCAAAACUAUGGGGCCAGCACUUCAGGUCUUCUUCAGAUGGUUUAAGCAGUAGGUCAACAAAGGACUUCCCCUUGGAAUCAUUGGAUUGCAAAGGAGGAGGAUUGUCAUCAACUGUCCAAAUCUUGUUCCUAGCAAAACCAUGCUGCUCUAGUGAUCCGCAGUUUCCAAACUGAGGGAAACAAAUAGGGAUUCCUCCCCUCAUUGCUUUUGGUGGCUUAAAGAUUGCCUUGCUACUGGUGAACAGAAGUUCUUCCCCUCGUUCAUUCCUCCAUGAAACCACUUGUCCUCCAUGCAGGCUUACCCGGGCAGAAGCCCCUUGUGGAUUUCGAACCACGACCUGUUCAAUACCAUUCCAGUCCUUUGUAAUCUCAAUGGCUGCUCUGUGAUCCCAGACAGCUGCAGAAUGCCCCAUUUUGAAGAAGAAAAACUGGAAAUCUCUAAUACUCUACUUUCCUUUUGCAAUCUAAACAGGACCCAAACAGACUCCUAAGGGACUUCUAUUCUCUAAUUAAGCACCCCAGAGCACCAAGAAGCGCACAACACCCGUAUCAUAGCGAAUUAGCAAGAAACAUAAAAGCACCUGUGGAGAGAAUUGAAAAUCUCAACACAUAUCCUGUGAGUCUCGUGAGUUCAAAGCACAAGCGCUGAGCUAUACCUUCAACCAGGAGAACUCUAAUUGAUCCUAAUCACCCUUAGAGUACUAUAUUAUGAAAGAGAAAUGCUAUGGAAGAAAAAACCUAAAGCUGAAACAAAGAGACGCAGAAAGUGAAAACAUUUGGCAACUGCAUAGGCCAACACCUACCAACAAUUGAUAAAGAAAUCAACAGAAACUUGUCACAUUUACAUAAGAAGAAGACAAUCAGAAGAUAAGACCAUAAAUAAAAUCAUAACUUCUAUGAAAUAUUCUUUCUUCUAAGUUAAACCUUUUUCUAUCGAUGAAAAGAAAAACAAAAGACAAAAAGAAAAAAGAAAAAAAAAAUUCAAAUCCCAAUGCUUAAAUCAGAUGCCUACUAAAAUUUUAUUAGCAUAGUAUAUCACAUAAUCAAAACACCAUCAUGGUACUUCCAGCGAUACCAAAAUGCAGCAUGCCGCUCUGCUAUUGAACUAUUUGAGUGUUUCCCAAAUGCAUCUAUCUGAGUCAUGACAGGAAGAAUGAGAUUAAAUCAAAUAGUGGCACGUUAUAAGCACCACAACUAGUAAGAACUUUCUAGAAAAUUUCCAACAUGUAGUGAUUGUGAUGAUAAUAAAUAUAUCUCAGAAAUAUUCUCCAUUGGCCCAUAUGACAACUCCCAGGUAUACAUGAAGUGCCUUGUAUGUCUAGAAAAAUCCAGUCAUAUUGCUGAAGCAAUUUUUCAUAAACACUAAAAUAAAUUGCACACCUAACUGUAUUAGUGUAUUGUUAAAAGACACCAUCCAAAAUCAUCCCCAGAUAAUGGGCCGCACAAAGUAAAGCCUGAAGUUACCUGCAAGUCACUGGACAAGUCCUUUACAUUAUCCUCUGAGAGCUUCUUUUCCUUCUCCAGUUUCUCAUAGGCUUUCAAUGCAUCUCUUCUAAUAUUCCUCAAUGCCACCUUUCCUUCUUCAGCCUGUUUGGCGACCAUUUUUGACAAUUCCACUUGCUACAUCCCACAAGACCAAAGGAAACUACCUUCCUUCUUUCUGAUGUCAAUUGAGGAAGGGACAACCGUAUCACUUCUCCGUCAUUAUUUGGAGUCAAACCAAGAUCAGAGCUGACAAUGGCCUUCUCUAUAGCCUUUAGGCUGGCAUGCAAGAAGUAACAAAUAUAAGAAAAGAGAACAAAAUAGUCAGCAAAGAUUUAUUACCAUUCUGUGAUUUCACUACAUAUUCUGUUCCUUUAGCAAAUGAAAAUUUUGUAAAACCAGUCCCUACUCUCUAGUACUUAGUUGACAACAGGAAUGCUAUACUUCUAGUAUGCGUACUAUAUCUAUUCCAUAGAUGAGUAAAUAAGCACAGUCGAUGGUCCUCAAAAAUCCCCAGUUUUCCUGUCUCUUUGCUUUUUGCAAUACCUGGAUUUGUCAUAUGGCUGGACCAAAAGAGAACUUGCUUCAGGAGUACUGAUUUGAGCUAUGCUCUUCAAGCUGACUGGACUUCCAUAAUACUCCACCUAUAUAAGCAUGGUUUCAUACCUUUUCCAAUAAAAAGUGAAGACUUUAACAGAACAAUAAAUUAUAACUAGUAGAUAUUUGAUAACAAGUGCUGCACAAGCCACCUCAUGUCUGCUAUGUUAAACACUGAGUUCAUGUUUAACAAAGAAGAGAUCUAAUCCAAAUUGAAUGUAAACUUUAACAAAAAGAGUAAGCUUUGUGACUCUCAUAACAUUUAAUACCAUUUGGAUAAAAUGAAAAAUAGGAAUAAGAAGAGAAAAUGAUUACAUUUUUCUUCCUCACUAAAAAGUUCUUUCUACAAAAUAAAUCCACCUAAAUCAAAUUAGAAUAGAGUGAGCUUAAAAGCAUCAAGUUUUUUUCAUAUGAAAAUAUUAAAUGUAAUUAAAUAAUGCUAAAGAUUUGAAUUAUUUAGCAACAAGGGAAAAAAAUAAAAUAUGGCAUGCUUCUCAUUUCCUACCCUAGAACUUAUUCCUUUGUGCACAGAAUAAAAGUUCCUGCUAAGGCAACUAGAGGAACUGAUUUCCUUUAGUUCCUUUAAAUCAAAGAGCAUAAGACCGUUGGAACCUACACCUGACACAGAUCACAUUCUGAUUCUAAUAUGGUAUGUUAAACACACACUCAGUAACAACUACUUUUUCUAUGUUAGUUCAUAGCUGAAGGAGGUUUCGCUGACAAAGUUGUAACAUGGCAACGCACUUGAGGCUGAGAAAGGCUCCCUAAAAGUAGAGAAGAUGAAGGAUAAGGAGCUAUAUCAUAUAGAAUGUUCAUGAAAAAUAGACCACAGACAUAACUACAUAUUGAUCCUGUCUCAUUGAAGCAGCCCAGAUGAGUUGCAAAUGUAGAGAUACGGGAAUCCCCAAGCUAAGAUAUACUUUGCAGCACAAACGAGAGGCAGCAAAGAUAUAUAGAUGAUAAGAUGGCCCUCCCCAACCCUCAAAAGGUGGGGACCCCUGUAUAUGGGGUUUGGGGAUGCCUUGAACUUUACAAGAAGACUCGAUAAAAAUGUAAACAGUGUGAUGUCAUUUGUUGAAUGUACAACAACAAGGAAAAUUACAGACAUAUAUUAUUGAAUUCAAAAAAACAACAUAUAGUAAAUAAUGAUUUGGAAGAGAAGCACAAGUGAAGAGGAACUAAAUCAUGUACUUUUGUUUCUGAGUGAUUCAUCAUUUGGAAAGUUAUAAUCUGCACAGUAUUUAUUUUUUGAUAGUUAAAUUUUGUUACGGAACUUAAUCUCCCUCUAUCUUUCCUUUCUUUCUUUCUUUCUUCUACUUGAGCACGCCAGCCAGCUAGUCCUGUUUGAAUUCAGGGAAAGAGAUUAGGAGGAAAUGGCCGUGGGAGGUUUCGCCGUUAACGAGCCUGUCAAUGGAUUCAACGGCAAGAUAACAGUGUCAGUGGUGGUUACUUGCAUCGUAGCUGCAUCGAGUGGACUCAUUUUUGGCUACGACAUCGGAAUUUCAGGAGGUGUAACGACAAUGGCACCAUUUCUGAAGAAAUUCUUCCCAUCGGUACUGAGGAAGCAAUCAGAGGCCAAAACAAACAUGUAUUGCAUAUAUGAUAGCCAGGUUUUAACAGCAUUCACAUCAUCGCUAUACAUAGCAGGCUUAGCUGCUUCACUUGUAGCUAGUCGCCUCACCGCAGCAUUGGGCCGCAAGAACACCAUGGUGCUAGGUGGCUGCACUUUCCUUGCAGGCGCCGCCAUCAACGGUGGUGCUGCCAACAUCUCCAUGCUCAUCGUGGGCCGCAUCUUGCUUGGUUUUGGAGUUGGCUUCACCAACCAGGCAACUCCUGUUUACCUCUCAGAGGUAGCACCACCGAAAUGGCGGGGGGCAUUCAACACAGGCUUCCAGUUUUUCAUAGGCAUUGGGGUAGUAUCAGCCAACUGCAUAAAUUUUGGCACGGCUAAGCACACCUGGGGUUGGCGUCUCUCCCUUGGCCUUGCCAUCGUACCUGCAGCUAUAAUGACAAUGGGUGCACUCCUUAUCUCCGACACCCCUACUAGCCUGGUGGAGCGUGGCAAGCUUGAGCAAGCUCGAAAAUCUCUCAUCAAAGUCCGAGGAAGUGACACUAAUGUGGAUGCUGAGCUUGCUGAGCUUAUUAAAUCCAGUGAAGCGGGCAAAGCUGCUCAAGCAGAACCUUUUGUAACCAUAUUUGAGAGGCAGUAUAAGCCUCACCUAGUGAUGUCAAUUGCUAUACCUUUUUUCCAACAACUGACUGGGAUUAACAUAAUUGCAUUUUAUGCCCCUGUUCUUUUUCAAUCAGUUGGAUUUGGUAAUGAUUCAGCUUUAAUUGCAGCCAUAAUUCUGGGAUUAGUUAAUCUGGGUUCAAUCCUGGUGUCUACGGGCGUGGUCGAUCGAUACGGUCGAAGAUUCUUGUUCAUUGUUGGAGGGACUCAGAUGUUCAUCUGUCAGGUUGCAGUAGCUUGCGUGCUGGCGGCAACAACAGGGGUUUCAGGCACCAAACACAUCUACAAGGGCUAUGCCAUAUUAGUACUGGUUUUAAUGUGCAUCUACGCUGCUGGUUUUGGUUGGUCUUGGGGGCCUCUAAGCUGGCUGAUUCCAAGUGAAAUAUUCCCUAUGAAAAUUCGUCCCACAGGCCAAAGCAUAAGCGUAGCUGUAAAUUUCGCUACCACAUUUGUGCUCUCACAAACAUUCUUAACCAUGCUAUGUCACUUCAAAUAUGGAACUUUCCUGUUCUAUGCUGGUUGGAUUGCCAUGAUGACCAUAUUUGUUGUACUUUUCUUGCCGGAGACGAAGGGAAUUCCUUUGGAUUCCAUGUAUUCGGUGUGGGAGCGGCACUGGUACUGGCGCAGGUUCGUUCAAGGGCAGGUGUAGGCAAAAUCUUGCUGAACAAAUAUGAAAAUUAUCUGGUUCUAAUUAGCUGGGUACUAUUUUAUAAACAGCAAGUUUAUAAAGGUGCAAUAGAAUGACAAAUUUUAAAGCAUUUUAUAUUCAUGUUGCUCUGUUGAAGAGAAUAUUUUCAUAUACUAAUAUUUUAGGGUAAAUUAUUAUUUAGCUCAUAAAAGUUUAUCAUUGUUAAUAUUUUUAUCUUUUUAUUUUAAAAAUAUAUUAAAAUGUUCUUAAAAUUUAGUUUCGUCUCUAAG
RNAcentral lists this unclassified non-coding RNA (6924 nucleotides) under Hevea brasiliensis (rubber tree). Lineage: Eukaryota; Viridiplantae; Streptophyta; Magnoliopsida; Malpighiales; Euphorbiaceae. The record is from RNAcentral.